RNAcentral lists this ribosomal RNA (1306 nucleotides) under uncultured bacterium. Its description in RNAcentral is "bacterial SSU rRNA". It matches the Rfam family "Bacterial small subunit ribosomal RNA", at positions 28 to 1382 of the family's 1533-position model. The record is from RNAcentral.
GAUGAACGCUGGCGGCGUGCCUAACACAUGCAAGUCGAACGAACCUUCGGGUUAGUGGCGGACGGGUGAGUAACGCGUGAGAAUCUGCCCUCAGGAGGGGGACAACAGCUGGAAACGGCUGCUAAUACCCCAUAUGCCGCGAGGUGAAAUGAAUUUCGCCUGAGGAUGAGCUCGCGUCUGAUUAGCUAGUUGGUGAGGUAAUGGCUCACCAAGGCUUCGAUCAGUAGCUGGUCUGAGAGGAUGAUCAGCCACACUGGGACUGAGACACGGCCCAGACUCCUACGGGAGGCAGCAGUGGGGAAUUUUCCGCAAUGGGCGAAAGCCUGACGGAGCAACGCCGCGUGAGGGACGAAGGCCUCUGGGCUGUAAACCUCUUUUCUCAAGGAAGAAGAUAUGACGGUACUUGAGGAAUAAGCCACGGCUAAUUCCGUGCCAGCAGCCGCGGUAAUACGGGAGUGGCAAGCGUUAUCCGGAAUUAUUGGGCGUAAAGCGUCCGCAGGCGGCUUUUCAAGUCUGCUGUUAAAGCGUGGAGCUUAACUCCAUCAUGGCAGUGGAAACUGAAAGGCUUGAGUAUGGUAGGGGCAGAGGGAAUUCCCGGUGUAGCGGUGAAAUGCGUAGAUAUCGGGAAGAACACCAGUGGCGAAGGCGCUCUGCUGGGCCAUUACUGACGCUCAUGGACGAAAGCCAGGGGAGCGAAAGGGAUUAGAUACCCCUGUAGUCCUGGCCGUAAACGAUGAACACUAGGUGUCGGGGGAAUCGACCCCUUCGGUGUCGUAGCUAACGCGUUAAGUGUUCCGCCUGGGGAGUACGCACGCAAGUGUGAAACUCAAAGGAAUUGACGGGGGCCCGCACAAGCGGUGGAGUAUGUGGUUUAAUUCGAUGCAACGCGAAGAACCUUACCAGGGUUUGACAUCCUGCGAACCUCUUAGAAAUUUGAGGGUGCCUUCGGGAAUGCAGUGACAGGUGGUGCAUGGCUGUCGUCAGCUCGUGUCGUGAGAUGUUGGGUUAAGUCCCGCAACGAGCGCAACCCACGUUUUUAGUUGCCAGCAUUUAGUUGGGCACUCUAGAAAGACCGCCGGUGAUAAACCGGAGGAAGGUGUGGAUGACGUCAAGUCAUCAUGCCCCUUACACCCUGGGCUACACACGUACUACAAUGCUACGGACAAAGGGCAGCAAACUCGCGAGAGCUAGCAAAUCCCAUAAACCGUGGCUCAGUUCAGAUCGUAGGCUGCAACUCGCCUACGUGAAGUAGGAAUCGCUAGUAAUCGCAGGUCAGCAUACUGCGGUGAAUACGUUCCCGGGCCUU